RNAcentral lists this ribosomal RNA (301 nucleotides) under uncultured bacterium. RNAcentral describes it as "partial 16S ribosomal RNA". It matches the Rfam family "Bacterial small subunit ribosomal RNA", at positions 509 to 807 of the family's 1533-position model. The record is from RNAcentral.
CAGUAGCCGCGGGAAUACGGAGGGGGCUAGCGUUGUUCGGAAUUACUGGGCGUAAAGCGCACGUAGGCGGAUCAGAAAGUCAGAGAUGAAAUCCCAGGGCUCAACCUUGGAACUGCCUUUGAAACUCCUGGUCUUGAGGUCGAGAGAGGUGAGUGGAAUUCCGAGUGUAGAGGUGAAAUUCGUAGAUAUUCGGAGGAACACCAGUGGCGAAGGCGGCUCACUGGCUCGAUACUGACGCUGAGGUGCGAAAGCGUGGGGAGCAAACAGGAUUAGAUACCCCUGUAGUCCCUGUCUCUUAUAC